RNAcentral lists this ribosomal RNA (587 nucleotides) under uncultured bacterium. RNAcentral's name for it is "partial 16S ribosomal RNA". It matches the Rfam family "Bacterial small subunit ribosomal RNA", at positions 355 to 1375 of the family's 1533-position model. The record is from RNAcentral.
UGGGGAAUUUUGGACAAUGGGCGAAAGCCUGAUCCAGCAAUGCCGCGUGUGUGAAGAAGGCCUUCGGGUUGUAAAGCACUUUUGUCCGGAAAGAAAUCCUUGGCUCUAAUACAGUCGGGGGAUGACGGUACCGGAAGAAUAAGCACCGGCUAACUACGUGCCAGCAGCCGCGGUAAUACGUAGGGUGCAAGCGUUAAUCGGAAUUACUGGGCGUAAAGCGUGCGCAGGCGGUUUGCUAAGACCGAUGUGAAAUCCCCGGGCUCAACCUGGGAACUGCAUUGGUGACUGGCAGGCUAGAGUAUGGCAGAGGGGGGUAGAAUUCCACGUGUAGCAGUGAAAUGCGUAGAGAUGUGGAGGAAUACCGAUGGCGAAGGCAGCCCCCUGGGCCAAUACUGACGCUCAUGCACGAAAGCGUGGGGAGCAAAACAGGAUUAGAUACCCUGGUAGUCCACGCCCUAAACGAUGUCAACUAGUUGUUGGGGAUUCAUUUCCUUAGUAACGUAGCUAACGCGUGAAGUUGACCGCCUGGGGAGUACGGUCGCAAAGAUUAAAACUCAAAGGAAUUGACGGGGUCAUAGCUGUUUCCU